GAUUUACAAUUCAGUUAUACUUUUUCUUUUCUAUUUUUUCCGUUAUUCCCUAUGUUUAUCUAUGAGCUUCUUGUGUCAUGAAAAUUGAUUUGAGAUAUUUUGUUUUGUGUGAUAUCUGAUUUGUUCAUAUCUCAUGAAAGAGUCUAGUUUUAUCAAACACUAUAUUCUAUAAUCUCAUUGUUCAUGCUGUCAUAUAUAACUUUUUUUCCCUUUGUUAGGUCUCAAAGAUAAGAAGUGUGUGCCAUGCAAUCUGAAGGAACUACGACUGAUGACGAGGAUGCAGCACACACUUUGAUGCCACACAUUUAUUUGUAAUCAUCAUAAUCAUCAUCAUCAAAAUAAAGCUUUUUCAACUUAAAGUGUUUUGGAAAUUGACAUUUUCUGGUUAGGUUUCUGAGUGGAAUUUGGUAAAAGAAGAUGGCAUAUUUAAACUGAAGAGGACAUGGAAAGUAAAGACUUUCACCAAAGGCUUGGAAUUCUUCAAGAUAGUAGCUGACCUUGCUGAAAGUGAAGGUGAAAAACAUUACAAGAUGAUCGAACAAAUUAGAGAAGAAUUUUUUUUUUUUUUGGUUUUCAAAGGAUGAGAAGAAUAUGUACUAUAUUAGAGAAUAUUUUUGUUUUCACAAUAUAAUAUUUUGAUGUCUUUUGUAAUUU
Non-coding RNA from Arachis ipaensis, 654 nucleotides. The record is from RefSeq and is a predicted model, not a curated record. NCBI's taxonomy places the organism in Eukaryota, Viridiplantae, Streptophyta, Magnoliopsida, Fabales, Fabaceae.